GACGGGGCCCGCACAAGCGGUGGAGCAUGUGGUUUAAUUCGAUGCAACGCGAAGAACCUUACCUGGGCUUGAACUGCAGGCGUAGUCGCUUGAAAGAGCGGCGAACUCCUUCGGGAAGACCUGUAGAGGUGCUGCAUGGCUGUCGUCAGCUCGUGUCGUGAGAUGUUGGGUUAAGUCCCGCAACGAGCGCAACCCUUGCCAUUAGUUGUCAGCGAGUCAUGUCGGAUACUCUAAUGGGACUGCCGGUGACGAGCCGGAGGAAGGUGGGGAUGGCGUCAAGUCCUCAUGGCCCUUAUGUCCAGGGCUACACACGUGCUACAAUGGCCGGUACAAAGGGUAGCAAGACCGCGAGGUGGAGCCAACCCCAAAAAGCCGGUCUCAGUUCGGAUUGGAGUCUGCAACUCGACUCCAUGAAGUUGGAAUCGCUAGUAAUCGUGGAUCAGCAUGCCACGGUGAAUACGUUCCCGGGCCUU
This 473-nucleotide ribosomal RNA is filed under the name uncultured Aminicenantes bacterium. Its description in RNAcentral is "bacterial SSU rRNA". It matches the Rfam family "Bacterial small subunit ribosomal RNA", at positions 916 to 1381 of the family's 1533-position model. Lineage: Bacteria; Candidatus Aminicenantota. The record is from RNAcentral.